Molecule: ribosomal RNA, 807 nt
Filed under: Acinetobacter baumannii
Lineage: Bacteria; Pseudomonadati; Pseudomonadota; Gammaproteobacteria; Moraxellales; Moraxellaceae
Description: bacterial SSU rRNA
Rfam family: Bacterial small subunit ribosomal RNA
Source: RNAcentral
UUGCUACCGGACCUAGCGGCGGACGGGUGAGUAAUGCUUAGGAAUCUGCCUAUUAGUGGGGGACAACAUCUCGAAAGGGAUGCUAAUACCGCAUACGUCCUAUGGGAGAAAGCAGGGGAUCUUCGGACCUUGCGCUAAUAGAUGAGCCUAAGUCGGAUUAGCUAGUUGGUGGGGUAAAGGCCUACCAAGGCGACGAUCUGUAGCGGGUCUGAGAGGAUGAUCCGCCACACUGGGACUGAGACACGGCCCAGACUCCUACGGGAGGCAGCAGUGGGGAAUAUUGGACAAUGGGGGGAACCCUGAUCCAGCCAUGCCGCGUGUGUGAAGAAGGCCUUAUGGUUGUAAAGCACUUUAAGCGAGGAGGAGGCUACUUUAGUUAAUACCUAGAGAUAGUGGACGUUACUCGCAGAAUAAGCACCGGCUAACUCUGUGCCAGCAGCCGCGGUAAUACAGAGGGUGCGAGCGUUAAUCGGAUUUACUGGGCGUAAAGCGUGCGUAGGCGGCUUAUUAAGUCGGAUGUGAAAUCCCCGAGCUUAACUUGGGAAUUGCAUUCGAUACUGGUGAGCUAGAGUAUGGGAGAGGAUGGUAGAAUUCCAGGUGUAGCGGUGAAAUGCGUAGAGAUCUGGAGGAAUACCGAUGGCGAAGGCAGCCAUCUGGCCUAAUACUGACGCUGAGGUACGAAAGCAUGGGGAGCAAACAGGAUUAGAUACCCUGGUAGUCCAUGCCGUAAACGAUGUCUACUAGCCGUUGGGGCCUUUGAGGCUUUAGUGGCGCAGCUAACGCGAUAAGUAGACCGCCUGGGGAGUA